GGAUGUGAGGACGAUCUGGCUGUGACAUCUGUCACUUCAUUGAUCUCCAGGGUUGAUUUGGCUGAUCUGGCUGGCUCGGUGGGUGUCCCUUUCCUCCCUCACCACUUCAUGGGUGUCCCUCCAAAGCUGCAUGCUCAGUCAAAGAGGAUGACCAUCCCCAAUAGAGGAGGACUGGUCUUAGGUCAAGGGUAUAUUAGUAGCUGCAUUCCCCUGCUAGAACCUCCAAACAAGCUCUCAGUAAGAGGUAUUCGAUAUUCUCAUGGUCAAUAAGUUUAUAUGUAAUAAUUUAUCUAUAAAAUUUU
RNAcentral lists this small nuclear RNA (302 nucleotides) under Chlorocebus sabaeus (green monkey). RNAcentral describes it as "7SK RNA". It matches the Rfam family "7SK RNA". Rfam says of the family: 7SK was discovered as an abundant small nuclear RNA in the mid-70s but a possible function has only recently been suggested. Lineage: Eukaryota; Metazoa; Chordata; Mammalia; Primates; Cercopithecidae. The record is from Rfam by way of RNAcentral.